Molecule: non-coding RNA, 87 nt
Organism: Salmo salar (Atlantic salmon)
Lineage: Eukaryota; Metazoa; Chordata; Actinopteri; Salmoniformes; Salmonidae
Source: Rfam
ACUGGCUGAGGUAGUAGUUUGUGCUGUUGGUUGGGUUAUGACAUUUCCCGCUAUGGAGAUGACUGCGCAAGCUACUGCCUUGCCAGU